Macrobrachium nipponense is the source of this 496-nucleotide long non-coding RNA. RefSeq lists it as uncharacterized. The transcript has 3 exons. Lineage: Eukaryota; Metazoa; Arthropoda; Malacostraca; Decapoda; Palaemonidae. The record is from RefSeq and is a predicted model, not a curated record.
AACAGGCAUCAGUAGAAGCAAUGCUCAAGACUGCCAUGCAGAGUCAGCUUGAUGGCGUGCGUACUGGUUUGAGUCAACUGCAGGCAGCGCUAGUGGAUCUGAAGGAGAUAAAAUCAGGAUCAACAGAGAUGGAGACAAGCUUAGUGAGAGUUCCAGAAUUAAGUGAGCAGCUGUACGAAUGCCGGGAGGAGUAUGUUCGUCAUUCCCAGUAUGCUGCUGCGAUGGAAAAUUUAAAGCAUAUUUUUACAGUUUCCAGAGUCUGUUGAUAAGACACGGAAGUGGAUUGCUGAAGGAAAGUUAUUAUAUGCCCAUCAGAACCUCACAUCAGAAAGAAGAUACUGAACGAACUUAGAAAUUAUCAUCAUGAGUUUGAAACAUCUCCGCCUUCAUACCCAAAGAAGAUACUGACUUAGAAAUUAUCAUCGAAACCCAAGACACUCCAAUGAGGAUGGAGAGUCAUAACAAACCGACCUUAGCAUAAAUUAUCACAGGUCUA